RNAcentral lists this ribosomal RNA (253 nucleotides) under uncultured bacterium. RNAcentral describes it as "partial 16S ribosomal RNA". It matches the Rfam family "Bacterial small subunit ribosomal RNA", at positions 524 to 776 of the family's 1533-position model. The record is from RNAcentral.
UACGUAGGGUGCAAGCGUUGUCCGGAAUUAUUGGGCGUAAAGAGCUCGUAGGCGGUUUGUCGCGUCUGCUGUGAAAACCCGAGGCUCAACCUCGGGCCUGCAGUGGGUACGGGCAGACUAGAGUGCGGUAGGGGAGAUUGGAAUUCCUGGUGUAGCGGUGGAAUGCGCAGAUAUCAGGAGGAACACCGGUGGCGAAGGCGGGACUCUGGGCCGAUACUGACGCUGAGGAGCGAAAGCGUGGGGAGCAAACAGG